This 2059-nucleotide ribosomal RNA is filed under the name human gut metagenome. RNAcentral's name for it is "bacterial LSU rRNA". It matches the Rfam family "Bacterial large subunit ribosomal RNA", at positions 14 to 2150 of the family's 2925-position model. The record is from RNAcentral.
AGGGCGUACGGUGAAUGCCUUGGUGCCAACAGGCGAAGAAGGACGCGGCAAGCUGCGAAAAUCCUCGGGAAGCUGCAAGCAAGCGAUGAUCCGGGGGUAUCCGAAUGGGGUAACCUGAUCGAGGCAAUACUCGAUCGUUCAUACCUGAAUACAUAGGGUAUGAAACGCGAAACCCGCUGAAGUGAAACAUCUCAGUAAGCGGAGGAAAAGAAAGAGAAAUCGAUUCCGUAAGUAGUGGCGAGCGAAAGCGGAUGGAGCCCAAACCGAAGGUACUCCUUCGGGGUUGUAGGACCACGAGAUAUUCGACCAUACUGGAUAGUAGAACAGCCUGGAAAGGCUGGCCGUAGAAGGUGAAAGCCCUGUAGACGAAAUCCAGCGUGGGAAUUAGUGGAAUCCUGAGUAAUACAUCACACGUGGAACGAUGUAUGAAUCAGCGCGGACCACCGCGCAAGGCUAAAUACUAGUUGGCGACCGAUAGUGAACAAGUACCGCGAGGGAAAGGUGAAAAGAACCGCUGUGAGCGGAGUGAAAUAGAACCUGAAACCGUAUGUCUACAAAGUGUCAGAGCAGAGCAAUCUGCGAUGGCGUGCCUUUUGUUUAAUGAGUCUGCGAGUCAGUGUUUGUGGCAAGACUAAGGGCUUCCGGCCCGGAGUCGCAGCGAAAGCAAGUCCGAAUAGGGCGAAUUAAGUCGCAGGUACUGGACCCGAAGCGGAGGUGACCUACCCUUGGCCAGGUUGAAGCAUGGGUAAAACCAUGUGGAGGACCGAACAGGUGAACGUUGAAAAGUUCUCUGAUGAGCUGAGGGUAGGAGUGAAAGGCUAAUCAAACCCCGUGAUAGCUGGUUCUCUUCGAAAUGCAUUUAGGUGCAGCGUCACGUGCUGAUGCGCGGGGGUAGAGCACUGACAAGGCUAGGGGGCACACCCGCUUACCAAACCUUAUCAAACUCCGAAUACCGUGCAAUGGAACGUGGCAGUGAGACAGUGGGGGAUAAGCUUCAUUGUCGAGAGGGAAACAACCCAGACCAGCAGCUAAGGUGCCUAAAUAACGCUCAGUGGAAAGGAUGUGGGAUUACACAGACAGUGAGGAUGUUGGCUUAGAAGCAGCCACCAUUUAAAAAAUGCGUAAUAGCUUACUCAUCGAGUGAUCCUGCGCCGAAAAUGAUUGGCGAUCAAGCGUUAUACCGAAGCUCUGGACUUUACCUUACGGUAGAGUGGUAGAAGAGCGUUGCAUGCGCGUUGAAGGGUGAUGGCGACUGACCCUGGAGCACAUGCAAGUGAGUAUGCAGACAUGAGUAACGUAAAGCCGGGUGAAAUCCCCGGCCGCCGUAAACCCGAGGUUUCCAGGGCAACGUGUUUCGUCCCUGGGUUAGCCGGGACCUAAGCCGAGGCCGAGAGGCGUAGGCGAUGGAUAUCAGGUUAAUAAUCCUGAGCUCGCGACCCUUAAACUGGGGGGACGCAUGAGAAAAGAUGACUAGGUUAUUGAAUUCCGAGUUGAGUCCACGGACUCAGCGCAUCAUUGGAUCGAGUGCCAAGAAAAGCCCCAGCGUAUGCUAAGCGACCCGUACCGCAAACCGACACAGGUGGGUGGGUAGAAUAUACCAAGGCGUAAGAGUGAAACCUGGUUAAGGAACUCGGCAAAUUAGCCCCGUAACUUCGGAAGAAGGGGUGCCUGCAGCGAUGCAGGCCGCAGAGAAAUGGCCCAACCGACUGUUUAUCAAAAACACAGCACUCUGCAAAGACGCAAGUCGAAGUAUAGGGUGUGACACGUGACCAAUGCCGAAAGAUUAAGGCAAGGGGUUAGCCGCAAGGCGAAGCUCUGAACCCAAGUCCCGGUGAAUGUCGGCCGUAACUAUAACGGUCCUAAGGUAGCGAAAUUCCUUGUCGGGUAAGUUCCGACCUGCACGAAUCGUGAAACGAGUUGGGCACUGUCUCAACCAGGCGCUCAGUGAAAUUGUAGUGGCGGUGAAGAUGCCGCCUACCCGCAGAAGGACGGAAAGACCCUAUAGACCUUAACUGUAAGCUGUCAUUGUUUCUUCGGUUUUAAUGCUCAGAGUAAGUGG